UUACAGGCAUGAGCCACCGUGCCUGGCCUAGAAUGUCCUUUCUUUUUGAAACCGAGUAAUAUUCCAUUAUCACCUUUCAGAGGAGAAGAGUUUUAAAGAAUCCUCUCUGUUCGACAGGGUUUUAAGAGAGCAGUUAACUACUGUAGAUAAAGAAACACUUCAAGGGGCAGCUAAACCAGAUGCUCACUUUAGGACUAUGCCCUGCGGGCAGCUUCUGCACUUCCUGCAGAGGAACACCAUCAUCGCCGCCGUCUCAGGGGUGGCCAUCCUCAUGGCCACCGUGCUGUUGCUGCUUGGGUUGGCCUCAUACAUCAGGAAGAAACAGCCAUCGGACAUGUAUUCCUGACCGCAGAAGGAAGAGCAGCUCCCCACAGCCCCUCAGUCCUGCCGACACUGCACUGAAUGCUCAGCUUGCCCCUAGAGCAAUGGGGUGGAGAUCUCCUCCGGCAAACACGACAUAUAAUAUUUUUAUAAUGAAUGGAAAGACAUGGUGGCAAAAUUCUGAAGAAAAAAAUUUCACAAAAUGUGCAAAAAAACAGAAACAGUUGAAGAGCAGCUCCGGCGUCUAAGCCAGGUCGUGGGGCAGUCAAACCAGGACUUGAAACCACAAUGCGAGCACAUUCUUCAUC
Molecule: small RNA, 629 nt
Filed under: Pongo abelii (Sumatran orangutan)
Lineage: Eukaryota; Metazoa; Chordata; Mammalia; Primates; Hominidae
Description: processed transcript
Source: RNAcentral